RNAcentral lists this small RNA (971 nucleotides) under Pongo abelii (Sumatran orangutan). RNAcentral describes it as "processed transcript". The record is from RNAcentral. Lineage: Eukaryota; Metazoa; Chordata; Mammalia; Primates; Hominidae.
CUUUUCUUCAAAAUGAAAUUGACUGUAAUUGGUCAACUAUAUUUAGAAUUCUUAGUUAUAUAUCAGACUAAGUUGAGAUGAGAAAUAUUUCUUCAAGAGAAGUUUUAGGUAGCAGUAAAGGUUCUAAAGCAUUUAAGAAAAGUACAGGAGAAGGAGCCAUUUACUUGUUCAAUAUGUGUCUACAGCAGCUGUUUGAAGUAAAAGUUUUCAAGGAGAAACACCAUUCUUGGUUUAUAAAUCAGUCAGUUCAAUCAGGAGGUCUUCUCCAUUUUGCCACACCUGUGGAUCCUCUAUUUCUCCUUCUCCACUACCUCAUAAAGGCUGAUAAGGAGGGGAAGUUUCAGCCCCUUGAUCAAGUUGUGGUGGAUAACGUGUUUCCAAAUUGCAUCUUGUUGCUGAAACUUCCUGGACUUGAGAAGUUACUUCACCAUGUGACAGAGGAAAAAGGUAAUCCAGAAAUAGACAACAAGAAAUAUUACAAGUACAGCAAAGAGAAGACAUUAAAGUGGCUGGAAAAAAAGGUUAAUCAAACUGUGGCAGCAUUAAAAACCAAUAAUGUGAAUGUCAGUUCCCGGGUACAGUCAACUGCAUUUUUCUCUGGUGACCAAGUUUCCACUGACAAGGAAGAGGAUUAUAUUCGUUAUGCCCAUGGUCUGAUAUCUGAUUACAUCCCUAAAGAAUUAAGUGAUGACUUAUCUAAAUACUUAAAGCUUCCAGAACCUUCAGCCUCAUUGCCAAAUCCUCCAUCAAAGAAAAUAAAGUUAUCAGAUGAGCCUGUAGAAGCAAAAGAAGAUUACACUAAGUUUAAUACUAAAGAUUUGAAGACUGAAAAGAAAAAUAGCAAAAUGACUGCAGCUCAGAAGGCUUUGGCUAAAGUUGACAAGAGUGGAAUGAAAAGUAUUGAUACCUUUUUUGGUGUAAAAAAUAAAAAAAAAAUUGGAAAGGUUUGAAACUUUGAAAAUAAAAUCUAG